Molecule: ribosomal RNA, 132 nt
Filed under: Dictyostelium mucoroides
Lineage: Eukaryota; Evosea; Eumycetozoa; Dictyosteliales; Dictyosteliaceae
Description: partial 18S ribosomal RNA
Rfam family: Eukaryotic small subunit ribosomal RNA
Source: RNAcentral
ACGGUAAAGUUAACGGAUCGUUUUAUCUUUGGCAACAUUGAUAUAAACUAAAAGUUAUUUAAAUCUCAUUGUUUAGAGGAAGGAGAAGUCGUAACAAGGUAUCCGUAGGUGAACCUGCGGAUGGAUCAUUUU